This 435-nucleotide ribosomal RNA is filed under the name Triticum aestivum (bread wheat). RNAcentral's name for it is "partial small subunit ribosomal RNA". The record is from RNAcentral. Lineage: Eukaryota; Viridiplantae; Streptophyta; Magnoliopsida; Poales; Poaceae.
AUGGAGCAGGGCACGACGACGGCGCCGACGCCGCUACCGGAAGUCGCCAAGGGGACAGGCCAGUGCUUCACCUUUGUUGCCACCGGAGGCUCCGCCUUCUACUUCCUCAAGGGCCUGCGCAACUCCCCCAAAGGCCGCCGCCUAGCCGGCGGCGCCCAGGCGGUCCUCACGAACGCGCCCCGAAUCGGCCGUUGGGGGGUCUGGCUCGGCGUCGAGGCAGCAAUUGAUAACGUCCUGGAGCGCGUGAACAAGAAGGACCACCGCUUCAACGCCAUGAUCUCCUUUGGCGCCGCCAGCGCCCUCGUCUCCAUGGCCAGGGGGCCACGCGCCGCCGCCCUCUCCGGGAUCAAGGGCGCGGUCUUCGGCGGGCUCGCUGAGAUCGUUAUGCGCAGGCUUAAAAGCUUGGUGGCCGACCUACCGGAACGGGAGAAGUGA